GAUGAACGCUGGCGGCGUGCCUAAUACAUGCAAGUCGAGCGAACGGACGAGAAGCUUGCUUCUCUGAUGUUAGCGGCGGACGGGUGAGUAACACGUGGAUAACCUACCUAUAAGACUGGGAUAACUUCGGGAAACCGUAGCUAAUACCGGAUAAUAUUUUGAACCGCAUGGUUCAAAAGUGAAAGACGGUCUUGCUGUCACUUAUAGAUGGAUCCGCGCUGCAUUAGCUAGUUGGUAAGGUAACGGCUUACCAAGGCAACGAUGCAUUGCCGACCUGAGAGGGUGAUCGGCCACACUGGAACUGAGACACGGUCCAGACUCCUACGGGAGGCAGCAGUAGGGAAUCUUCCGCAAUGGGCGAAAGCCUGACGGAGCAACGCCGCGUGAGUGAUGAAGGUCUUCGGAUCGUAAAACUCUGUUAUUAGGGAAGAACAUAUGUGUAAGUAACUGUGCACAUCUUGACGGUACCUAAUCAGAAAGCCACGGCUAACUACGUG
Molecule: ribosomal RNA, 497 nt
Filed under: uncultured bacterium
Lineage: Bacteria
Description: partial 16S ribosomal RNA
Rfam family: Bacterial small subunit ribosomal RNA
Source: RNAcentral